UACGAAGGGGGCUAGCGUUGUUCGGAAUUACUGGGCGUAAAGCGCGUGUAGGCGGUUGUUUAAGUCAGGGGUGAAAGCCUUGAGCUCAACUCAAGAAAUGCACUUGAUACUGGAUGACUAGGGGACCGGAGAGGAUAGUGGAAUUCCCAGUGUAGUGGUGAAAUACGUAGAGAUUGGGAAGAACACCAGUGGCGAAGGCGGCUAUCUGGACCGGCAUUGACGCUGAGGAGCGAAAGCCAGGGGAGCAAACGGG
This 253-nucleotide ribosomal RNA is filed under the name uncultured bacterium. Its description in RNAcentral is "partial 16S ribosomal RNA". It matches the Rfam family "Bacterial small subunit ribosomal RNA", at positions 524 to 776 of the family's 1533-position model. The record is from RNAcentral.